RNAcentral lists this long non-coding RNA (411 nucleotides) under Helianthus annuus (common sunflower). RNAcentral describes it as "hypothetical non coding rna". Lineage: Eukaryota; Viridiplantae; Streptophyta; Magnoliopsida; Asterales; Asteraceae. The record is from RNAcentral.
UCUGUGUUAGGCCGUUGUGUCUCAGUUGGCAUAGAAACAACUUGUGCUUGGGAUGAGGACUGGUUGUUGGAGGUACUAGCAAAUUUAUAACCCGUGCACACGCGUACAGACCGCUGCUUCUUGGUCCAUUGUGUUGGCACCCGUAAUGUGUUUGUAGGCUCCAUAUCUGUCUCUGUGACAUGAGUUAAAAUGGCCGACAGAUUUUUGGCAGAACAAGGCGCCCACCAGUCCCAGCAUCUGUAGGAGACAAUGCUUUCUCGAAUAAUGGUGUGACCAUCUCAUUCACACUAUCAAAGAAUCAAGGCAGGAACGAAUUAGUUUGUUACGCAUGAAUACAAUCAUCUAUGUUUCAGUUUAUGUAUUGUAAGUGCUAGUAUUUAAAAGAAUUGAAAGAAUACCGCUUAAAGAUGU